AACUCUAGCCCUAAGACCCCCCCCCAAACAAAACUACUCUAAAGAACUCAAACAAAACAUUUAACUUCUAAAGUAUAGGAGAUAGAAAUUUUUUUCUUGGCGCUAUAGAAAAAGUACCGCAAGGGAAAGAUGAAAGAAUAAAUUAAUAGUAUAAAAUAGCAUAGAUUACCCCUAUUACCUUUUGCAUAAUGGGUUAACUAGAAAUAAAUUGACGAAGAGAACUUAGCCAAUUACCCCGAAACCAAACGAGCUACUUCCGAACAGCUAAUAGAGCGAACUCAUCUGUGUAGCAAAAUAGUGAGAAGAUUUGGAAGUAGAGGUGAAAAGCCAACCGAGUUUGGAGAUAGCUGGUUAUCCAAAUAAGAAUUUUAGUUCAACUGUAAGUUUUUCCUAAAACCCUUAGAAUUCUAAUGAAAACUUACAUGCUAAUUUAAAGAGGGACAGCUCUUUAAAAAAGGAAACAACCUUCAGCAGUGGAUAAGCUAAUUUAAAUGGACAUAGUUGGCCUAAAAGCAGCCAUCAAUUAAGAAAGCGUUCAAGCUCAACAACAAACUCCAUAACCUAAUCCCAAUAAAUUCUACAACUCCCUGCCCUAACAAUUGGAUCAAUCUAUAAAUUUAUAGAAGAGAUAAUGUUAAUAUUAGUAACAAGAACUUUUUCUCCUUGCACAAGCUCACAUCAAAUUAUAUUAAACAUUUGAUCAUUAACAAUCUAAUAAGGCAAAACAACCUAUUAGUUUACUUAUUACAGAUAUUGUUAACCCAACACAGGAGUGCAACAAGGAAAGACUAAAAGAAGCAAAAGGAACUCGGCAAA
RNAcentral lists this ribosomal RNA (816 nucleotides) under Erethizon dorsatum (North American porcupine). RNAcentral's name for it is "partial 16S ribosomal RNA". The stretch from base 162 to 639 matches the Rfam family "Bacterial large subunit ribosomal RNA", at positions 573 to 1301 of the family's 2925-position model. Lineage: Eukaryota; Metazoa; Chordata; Mammalia; Rodentia; Erethizontidae. The record is from RNAcentral.